GGGUUGUGAGGUUAAGCGACUAAGCGUACACGGUGGAUGCCCUGGCAGUCAGAGGCGAUGAAGGACGUGCUAAUCUGCGAUAAGCGUCGGUAAGGUGAUAUGAACCGUUAUAACCGGCGAUUUCCGAAUGGGGAAACCCAGUGUGUUUCGACACACUAUCAUUAACUGAAUCCAUAGGUUAAUGAGGCGAACCGGGGGAACUGAAACAUCUAAGUACCCCGAGGAAAAGAAAUCAACCGAGAUUCCCCCAGUAGCGGCGAGCGAACGGGGAGCAGCCCAGAGCCUGAAUCAGUGUGUGUGUUAGUGGAAGCGUCUGGAAAGGCGCGCGAUACAGGGUGACAGCCCCGUACACAAAAAUGCACAUGCUGUGAGCUCGAUGAGUAGGGCGGGACACGUGGUAUCCUGUCUGAAUAUGGGGGGACCAUCCUCCAAGGCUAAAUACUCCUGACUGACCGAUAGUGAACCAGUACCGUGAGGGAAAGGCGAAAAGAACCCCGGCGAGGGGAGUGAAAAAGAACCUGAAACCGUGUACGUACAAGCAGUGGGAGCACGCUUAGGCGUGUGACUGCGUACCUUUUGUAUAAUGGGUCAGCGACUUAUAUUCUGUAGCAAGGUUAACCGAAUAGGGGAGCCGAAGGGAAACCGAGUCUUAACUGGGCGUUAAGUUGCAGGGUAUAGACCCGAAACCCGGUGAUCUAGCCAUGGGCAGGUUGAAGGUUGGGUAACACUAACUGGAGGACCGAACCGACUAAUGUUGAAAAAUUAGCGGAUGACUUGUGGCUGGGGGUGAAAGGCCAAUCAAACCGGGAGAUAGCUGGUUCUCCCCGAAAGCUAUUUAGGUAGCGCCUCGUGAAUUCAUCUCCGGGGGUAGAGCACUGUUUCGGCAAGGGGGUCAUCCCGACUUACCAACCCGAUGCAAACUGCGAAUACCGGAGAAUGUUAUCACGGGAGACACACGGCGGGUGCUAACGUCCGUCGUGAAGAGGGAAACAACCCAGACCGCCAGCUAAGGUCCCAAAGUCAUGGUUAAGUGGGAAACGAUGUGGGAAGGCCCAGACAGCCAGGAUGUUGGCUUAGAAGCAGCCAUCAUUUAAAGAAAGCGUAAUAGCUCACUGGUCGAGUCGGCCUGCGCGGAAGAUGUAACGGGGCUAAACCAUGCACCGAAGCUGCGGCAGCGACGCUGAUGCGUUGUUGGGUAGGGGAGCGUUCUGUAAGCCUGUGAAGGUGUACUGUGAGGUAUGCUGGAGGUAUCAGAAGUGCGAAUGCUGACAUAAGUAACGAUAAAGCGGGUGAAAAGCCCGCUCGCCGGAAGACCAAGGGUUCCUGUCCAACGUUAAUCGGGGCAGGGUGAGUCGACCCCUAAGGCGAGGCCGAAAGGCGUAGUCGAUGGGAAACAGGUUAAUAUUCCUGUACUUGGUGUUACUGCGAAGGGGGGACGGAGAAGGCUAUGUUGGCCGGGCGACGGUUGUCCCGGUUUAAGCGUGUAGGCUGGUUUUCCAGGCAAAUCCGGAAAAUCAAGGCUGAGGCGUGAUGACGAGGCACUACGGUGCUGAAGCAACAAAUGCCCUGCUUCCAGGAAAAGCCUCUAAGCAUCAGGUAACAUCAAAUCGUACCCCAAACCGACACAGGUGGUCAGGUAGAGAAUACCAAGGCGCUUGAGAGAACUCGGGUGAAGGAACUAGGCAAAAUGGUGCCGUAACUUCGGGAGAAGGCACGCUGAUAUGUAGGUGAAGUCCCUCGCGGAUGGAGCUGAAAUCAGUCGAAGAUACCAGCUGGCUGCAACUGUUUAUUAAAAACACAGCACUGUGCAAACACGAAAGUGGACGUAUACGGUGUGACGCCUGCCCGGUGCCGGAAGGUUAAUUGAUGGGGUUAGCCGCAAGGCGAAGCUCUUGAUCGAAGCCCCGGUAAACGGCGGCCGUAACUAUAACGGUCCUAAGGUAGCGAAAUUCCUUGUCGGGUAAGUUCCGACCUGCACGAAUGGCGUAAUGAUGGCCAGGCUGUCUCCACCCGAGACUCAGUGAAAUUGAACUCGCUGUGAAGAUGCAGUGUACCCGCGGCAAGACGGAAAGACCCCGUGAACCUUUACUAUAGCUUGACACUGAACAUUGAGCCUUGAUGUGUAGGAUAGGUGGGAGGCUUUGAAGUGUGGACGCCAGUCUGCAUGGAGCCGACCUUGAAAUACCACCCUUUAAUGUUUGAUGUUCUAACGUUGACCCGUAAUCCGGGUUGCGGACAGUGUCUGGUGGGUAGUUUGACUGGGGCGGUCUCCUCCUAAAGAGUAACGGAGGAGCACGAAGGUUGGCUAAUCCUGGUCGGACAUCAGGAGGUUAGUGCAAUGGCAUAAGCCAGCUUGACUGCGAGCGUGACGGCGCGAGCAGGUGCGAAAGCAGGUCAUAGUGAUCCGGUGGUUCUGAAUGGAAGGGCCAUCGCUCAACGGAUAAAAGGUACUCCGGGGAUAACAGGCUGAUACCGCCCAAGAGUUCAUAUCGACGGCGGUGUUUGGCACCUCGAUGUCGGCUCAUCACAUCCUGGGGCUGAAGUAGGUCCCAAGGGUAUGGCUGUUCGCCAUUUAAAGUGGUACGCGAGCUGGGUUUAGAACGUCGUGAGACAGUUCGGUCCCUAUCUGCCGUGGGCGCUGGAGAACUGAGGGGGGCUGCUCCUAGUACGAGAGGACCGGAGUGGACGCAUCACUGGUGUUCGGGUUGUCAUGCCAAUGGCACUGCCCGGUAGCUAAAUGCGGAAGAGAUAAGUGCUGAAAGCAUCUAAGCACGAAACUUGCCCCGAGAUGAGUUCUCCCUGACUCCUUGAGAGUCCUGAAGGAACGUUGAAGACGACGACGUUGAUAGGCCGGGUGUGUAAGCGCAGCGAUGCGUUGAGCUAACCGGUACUAAUGAACCGUGAGGCUUAACCUUACAACGCCGAAGCUGUU
Molecule: ribosomal RNA, 2932 nt
Filed under: Escherichia coli
Lineage: Bacteria; Pseudomonadati; Pseudomonadota; Gammaproteobacteria; Enterobacterales; Enterobacteriaceae
Description: 23S ribosomal RNA
Rfam family: Bacterial large subunit ribosomal RNA
Source: RNAcentral